RNAcentral lists this transfer RNA (78 nucleotides) under Klebsiella pneumoniae. Its description in RNAcentral is "tRNA-Leu". It matches the Rfam family "tRNA". From Rfam's summary of the family: Transfer RNA (tRNA) molecules are approximately 80 nucleotides in length. Their secondary structure includes four short double-helical elements and three loops (D, anti-codon, and T loops). The record is from RNAcentral. RNAcentral also lists the same sequence under 46 other names. Lineage: Bacteria; Pseudomonadati; Pseudomonadota; Gammaproteobacteria; Enterobacterales; Enterobacteriaceae.
ACCCACUUGGUCCAAUCUGGUAGAGGCAUGAGGCUUAAGACUUCAGGGUUCCCGGUUCGAGUCCGGGAGUGGGUACCA